RNAcentral lists this ribosomal RNA (1141 nucleotides) under metagenome. RNAcentral's name for it is "eukaryotic LSU rRNA". It matches the Rfam family "Eukaryotic large subunit ribosomal RNA", at positions 2144 to 3401 of the family's 3401-position model. The record is from RNAcentral.
AAUUAAAACAGAGGAGAUAGAUGGUUCCAGAUGGACGUUGACUAUCUCUGAUUUCUGCCCAGUGCUCUGAAUGUUACUUUAGGGAAAUUUGAUUAAGCGCGGGUAAACGGCGGGAGUAACUAUGACUCUCUUAAGGUAGCCAAAUGCCUCGUCAUCUAAUUAGUGACGCGCAAAUGGAUCAACGAGAUUCCCACUGUCCCUAACUACUACCUAGCGAAACCACAGCCAAGGGAACGGGCUUGGCAAAGACAGCGGGGAAAGCAGACCCUGUUGAGCUUGACUCUAGUCUGGAUUUGUGAAGAAUCAUGCAUGGUGUAGCAUAAGUGGGAGACUUCGGUCAACAAUGAAAUACCACUACUUUCAUCGUUUUCCUUACUUAUUCGAUCAAAGGGGAUCGGUUUGUUCGCAAACUUGUGAUUGUUGUUAAGCCGCUUCGUGCGGUGACCCCGGUCGGAGACAGUUCCAGGCGGGGAGUUUGACUGGGGCGGUACAUCUAUCAAACAAUAACGUAGGUGUCCUAAGGUGGGCUCAGAAAGGACGGAAACCUUUCGUAGAGUAAAAGGACAAAAGCCCACUUGAUCUUGAUUUUCAGUACGAAUACAGACCGCGAAAGCGUGGCCUAUCGAUCCUUUCGAUUUGUAAAGUUUACAGCAAGAGGUGUCAGAAAAGUUACCACAGGGUUAACUGGCUUGUGGCAGCCAAGCGUCCAUAGCGACGUUGCUUUUUGAUCCUUCGAUGUCGGCUCUUCCUAUCAUUGCGUAGCAGAAUGCGCAAAGCGUUGGAUUGUUCACCCACUAAUAGGGAACGUGAGCUGGGGUUAGACCGUCGUGAGACAGGUUAGUUUUAUCCUACUGUCAUUGAAGUUGUCGCAAUAGUAAUCCUGCUUAGUACGAGAGGAACAGCAGGUUCAGACAUUUGGUUUAUGCGCUUGUCCGAUAGGAAAAUGGUGCGAAGCUACCAUCUGGGGGAUUACAACUGAAUGCCUCUAAGUUGGAACCCCACCUAGACAGGUUGACAAUAAUUUUGUACCCCGGUGUCGGGCGGUACUCUUAUGUAGCGCUUUGCGCUGCGGCUUCUACCCCAUAACUAACUUUGCAAGAACCCUUAACGGACUCUUGUUGUUGGUUCCUUACGACUUUGU